AUACGUAGGGGGCAAGCGUUGUCCGGAUUUACUGGGUGUAAAGGGUGCUCAGGCGGGUUUGUAAGUCAGAUGUGAAAUCCCCGGGCUCAACCUGGGAACUGCAUUUGAGACUGCACGGCUAGAGUGUGACAGAGGGGGGUAGAAUUCCACGUGUAGCAGUGAAAUGCGUAGAGAUGUGGAGGAAUACCGAUGGCGAAGGCAGCCCCCUGGGUUACUACUGACGCUCAUGCACGAAAGCGUGGGGAGC
This 247-nucleotide ribosomal RNA is filed under the name uncultured bacterium. Its description in RNAcentral is "partial 16S ribosomal RNA". It matches the Rfam family "Bacterial small subunit ribosomal RNA", at positions 523 to 769 of the family's 1533-position model. The record is from RNAcentral.